Molecule: long non-coding RNA, 127 nt
Organism: Amblyraja radiata (thorny skate)
Lineage: Eukaryota; Metazoa; Chordata; Chondrichthyes; Rajiformes; Rajidae
Exons: 3
Source: RefSeq, a predicted model, not a curated record
CACCCAAUGGUCUGAGUCAAGCCUCCGAGGUCAUCGCACCGUCACUUCCAUGCGGAAGCACAUGAUCUACGCGAGCCUCGAAUGGUGGUUGUACCAAAAGGCUGGAGGGGUCAGUGGUUUUCUCGGC